UUUCUCUCACAACCCUCUCCCUCUCGUCUCCUCUCCUCUCCCUCACAACCCUCUCCUCACUAUUUUUUCACUCUAUACCUAAUUUUGAAAGCUUAAGACUAUACCGAUGACCGACAAAGUAGCGGAAUCAGAAACCCUUGACCCCAAUCUUAAAGAAACCAAAGUUUAUGUAGAAGUAACCAUCGAAUCGAAUGCUUUAGGAGGAACAGAGUCAUCUUGCAACAACAACAAGAUUGAGCAGCAGUAUAUACUAUUUUAAGGUUGCAUUUUUACUUUUGGGUCUCAAUGAUUUGAUCUAUCAAGAAUUGUGGAUAAUCUUUAAUUCAUUAGUUUAUUAUGUUUUAUGGGUUUUCUUUAAUUAGAGUAGUUAUUUGAAUAAUAGGGAUCAAAUAAUGUUGUAGGUGUUAAAUUGUCAAUACCAUGCCAUGUUGUUUCCAAUUGAUAAUAUAUAAACGUCACUAAUUAUUUUAUUUUGUUUGUUUGUACAUUGUUUUGAUAGAUGUGGUAGUGGAUUGAUUUUCUUCAUUAAUUUUAUUGAUUUGUUUAUUGAGCUUAUUUAAUUGUUUCUGAAUUUGGUAUUGUCAGUCUCAAUUAUCUUGUUAAUUAUGUUCAUAAGCUGUUUUUACUUGUACUUUGAGCUUAUUUAAUUGUUUCUGAAUUUGGUAUUGUCAUAAGCUGUUUUUAUUGAUUUGCAUGGAUUACAUGAAUUUAUGAAUGUCUAUUAGUUUUGAUUGGGUGUUUAAUCAAUUAGUUACGGCAAGAAACUGUCAUUUUCUUAAUACGAAAAACGUCAACAAAAUUAAGGGGUUGCUUCUUUUUUUUUUUUCGUUCGAAAAUCUAAAUUAAGUAAUAUUUCCUUCUAAAUGGAAGAGACUUUGGUUAAGAAUUAAAUAUGUCCUUAAUUAUAUGUCUCACAUGAUCUCUGGCCUGGUGAUGAGCUGAACUAAUGGAUAUGUCAUUGUUGGCACCAGCCAGAAAAAGGGGUAGAACAAGUCAUAACACACUCUUUUCAUUGCCAUAAAUGAUGUUAUAUGUAGAGUUACAUGCAUAGAUAUGAUUCAGAAUAAUUGAUGUUAAAUGACAUAUAGCCCAAGUACUUUAACUCACCUAUUUACAGUUUCACACCUAUCUUCAUUAUCUUGGGAUGUGAUUUUCUUUAAUAUUAUAUGAUAAGAAUAUUGAUAAUUUUUUGAUCCAAAGUCAAAUCCUUCUUGACGUUUCCACCUUAUGUCAGACCAAACUUGACCUGUUACCUCAACAUAUUUUCUUUGAUCUUGUCCUCGUCCUCUCAAUUAUUCAGACACAAAAAUGCUCCUCCUUACAUCUCCAGUUUUGUUUUAAGAUAAUCGAAGUCUCUUAGUGGCCAUCUACUGUUUUCUCUCGAGUUAGAUUAUUCCCAUUUUUGCUCAAUAAUUUAUUUCUUCCGUCUUUUCUUGAUUUAUAUACAAAUCCAGCAGGAUAAAAGCAAAUAGUCAGUGUUCCACGCACCAAAGCACUCCUAGCUUGUUAAACAAUAAUUAUGGUUUUAGCCUUCUAUGUUUGUUGGUACAGAACACAAUGGUCAUAUUUGACAAUGCUUGGGGUGCAUGUAUGCUUAAUACGGUGAUGUUUUUCUUAAAAUUGAUGUAUAUGUUUUUGGGGUUGUUCUCUAUGAACUUAUUUCAGCCAAGGAAGCCACAGUGAAGGCAAAUGGUACUAAUGUUGAAUCAAAAGGGCUUGUUCCAUUGGUAAGUUGUUUAUGUUCUCUUAAUCAUAUAAACAGUGAUGAUUAGAUAUGCUUAGCCUCCCAUGCACAUUGAGUAUCAUAAAAGUGACUCAAUUCAGUUGAAAAUGUCUAUUUGUCUGUUUACUUGCAGCAUCUCUGUUAAUUCUCCAGUAUUUGGUGACCCUACUUCUUUGACAUCUCAUGAACUAAUCUUUAUUAUCAUGACAUGGAUUGCCCUGGCUGCUGUUAGUUCUUAUUUGGGUUUUCAUAUAUUUUUUAACGAGAACUUGGAAGCGUUAAUUCUAGAUAUCAUCUGUUUCAUGAUUUAAAUUUUUUAGCAUUGGAACUUUGUUAAGUUGCGCUCGUAAUGUCAGAGUAUAUGUGGGUAAUGAAUGUGUUAGUUAAUGUGCUGGCAUGUGGGAUAGUGAUGUAUAUGCUUUUUUUUUUGGCAAAUUGUCUUUCUAAACUGGAGAUGUUGACAUUUUGGUUUUAUUGGUUUUUUUUUAUUGUUCGAAGUUAACUGUUUGGUGAAUUUGAGCUUAAGAUCAUUAGUUGCUUGAUUACAUUUGACUAAUACUAUUAUUGUUCCAUAUUUAUGGGCCUAAAAAGAUAGCAUAAGUUUUUUAGCAAUGGUAUAGCUAUAGUUCUUGAAAAUUCACAAUUUAUUAUUUAAACAUUUCUUUCUUUAUAUACAUUUCUUUUUUAAUUUCAUAAUUAUUUGACUGAUUUAUGUCUAUAUGUUUUUUUGAUUUGCAGAUAGAGUUUUUUCUGGAAGGUCAAUAACCACAAGGUUGAAGGUUUUAAUUAAGCAUUUUCUUAGGAUAUGAAUUUCAGAAUUUCAAUUUUUUGGAUUAUAGAAUUUGGUUUUGUGGUACUUCUAUUAUUUAAGCAACUGUUUAUUGCUUCGCUAGUUAAGUAUUUUAUUGCUUCGCUAGUUAAGUAUUUUGUUGAAUCAGUGAAUCUACUAAUUUUUUAUAAGAUAAUUACUUUUUAUUUUAAAUGUUUAUUGCGUUUUGUCUCUUAUAUUAUAUACAGGUGUAAAGUUAAUUUAAAAAGCUCACU
RNAcentral lists this long non-coding RNA (2767 nucleotides) under Panax ginseng (ginseng). Its description in RNAcentral is "long non-coding RNA (PGIN_LNC002992)". Lineage: Eukaryota; Viridiplantae; Streptophyta; Magnoliopsida; Apiales; Araliaceae. The record is from RNAcentral.